ACUGGCCCUCACAGAGAGUGACAGUCACAGAGUGGCUCCAGGAGUCCCACCCACUUGCUCUUCCCCCGGGCAGCCGGUCAAGGAGGGCUCGUGUGGGGCAGGAGCCGCUGUCGUCUUGAGCACCGCCCUGGGGCUGUGCACAAGGUCCAGGACUCUCCAAGUCUUGAGGAGGGGCGGGGUCCUGGUUUACAGAGGCAGAAGCGGGCUCAGAGAGGCAAGUUAAGUUGCUCAAGAUCACACAGGGAGAAACAGAUGGAGCCAGGCCUGGACCUUGAGCCUGUACCCCAGUCUGCCCAGCCGCUGUCCCCUCUACUCCUGAAAGCCAACCAGCCGCGCGGCCUGUCGGGGAGCGAGGCUAACGGGCAAAGGAAACUAUGUGCGCAAGGGCCUGGAGGCCGGGAGCAGAGGCCGAAGCUUCCACGGCUUCUGUGUGGAGCACGUUUGGGGAAGACCCUCCAUCCCUCCUGUGUGCACCCCGUCCAGCCAGACCAGCAGCGCAGGCCCCCCGCAGCCAUCCUGGGAGCUCCAAGCACUGUGGGCCGUUGGGGCCCAAUCCCUGCCCAUGACCGCCUCAGUCUUCCAGCUGCACUUUGAUGCCUGGCCGGAAGGCAGAGCUCAGUGAGCUGGUGCUGCUGGGAAGCCGACUGACACAGGGUGUGGAUGCCCUGCGCACAGUGGGUGCUCCCGGUAAUGGCGCAGUGGCUCAAGAUGCCAGGGUCCCCUUGCUCCCAGGGCUGCCCCUCUCCCCACUCAUUCUGGCCCCUCCUGUGGGAGCUGGGAUGGGGCCUUGACUGAGGACAUGCCCACUUUCUCCAGAGCAAAGGAUUCGCCAAAACAGAGGUGACCAAAUGGACAGUUAUUUACUGCGCGGUGUCAGGAGUCAGGCCUGGGGCAAGAGCUUUGAGGAGAAAGGUUCCUGCCUCCGGAAUCAGGCCUGGUGGAGCUGGUGUCCCCAGCCAGGGUGGCAGGGUCCUCCCUGGGAGCGCCUUCGUUCCCUCUUCUGCAGGUGAGCAGCCUGAGGCCAGAGGGCGGUGGGAACCUGCACCGCUCGGCCCUUGUCCUCGCCGGCGAAGGAUGGAGGACUGGGAUCCAUGCGGAACACAGAGAGACCUCCAACACGCUUCCACGCGAUGCUUGGAGUCCAGGCUAUGCAAACGCAGUGGCAGGACAUCCUUUCCCACCUCCCAGGUAAAAAGCAAGAGUGCUGACAGCACGCUGUGCUGGCUGUGGGACAAGGGUCCUCUGCAUCCUCGCCACAGUGAGGCCCCUGGGCACCACUGCUGCCACGCAGUGUGUCGACAUGAAUCACACUCAAAAUUCUGCAGGAGCUUUGGUCCAGUCCUUUUACUUCCAGGAAUUUAUCUUUUUUUUUUUGAGGAAGAUUAGCCCUGAGCUAACAUCUGCCACCAAUCCUCCUCCUUUUGCUGAGGAAGACUGGCCCUGAGCUAACAUCUGUGCCCAUCUUCCUCCACUUUAUAUGUGGGACACCUACCACGGCAUGGCGUGCCAAGCAGUGCCAUGUCCACACCCAGGAUCCAAACUGGCGAACCCCGGGGCCACUGAGAAGCGGAAUGUGCGAACUUAACCACUGCACCACCAGGCCGGCCCCAGAAUUUAUCUUUAAAAGGAACGAAUAGGAUGAGUGGGCAAGCAUGUUUCUUGUGGUGAGACCUUGGAAGUCUCCCCAAGAGCACAGCCUUGCAGGCAGACAGGAGUUCCAGCUGCAGCGGGGCCACGCAUGACCUUGGGCUGCGUGACGUUGGACAACUGACUUCAGUUUCUUCACCUGGAAGGUGGGGACAAUAUCGACAUCUCCCCGCUCCAGGGCCGCACACGAGUCCACAGAGGGAACGCUCGCCCGGGGCACAGUAGGCACGCGAGGACAGGUUUAUGAAGGAGAAGCAGAGUGCUCCUACACGAUGGAUUAGAACCAUCUGUGCGCAUAGAGAGAGGGCCUCUGCAGCCUCAGUUUCCCUUCUGAACAAAUAGGAAUUGGUCUUGGGAGCUUGCUGAGUGUCUCCACCCCCUGACCCCUCCCUCGCCCCAGCUCUGACUAGCCCAGCCAGGCUGUCCCCUCCUCAGGGAAGAGUCUGGUGGGACAGGGACGGCAGUCAGUCAGUCUGUCUGUUGGCCUGUCUGUCAAUCCCAGCCCAGACUCAAUCCGGCCCCUUGCACAUGAGGGUGGGGGAGGGGACAACCACGCUCCGCCCUGGGCACUGGCCCCCUGGCUCUGGCAAGCAGGAAGGCCAGUGAAGGUGGGGUUUACCUCACACACACCUCCGGGGAGGGGCCCUUAGGGGCCAGAUCCAGUUUCUGGCAGGACUGGUUAGUCCAGGUGGCCCUUGAUGGUGACCGAGAUAAGGUCUGCCCGGGUUGGCUGGGCUGUGAAGGAAACCCAAGCUGGGCAAAGAUUGGGGGCGGCCCAGGCCCAGCCUGCUUCAGAGGUGGGAUGGGGUCUGUGCCUGUCUUGAUCCAGCUGCUGUCACCAGCUUUUGGGGACCACCCAGCUGCCUUCUCUGAAUGUCCCUUCCUGCCUGCAGUGAGAGGUAGCACAAAAAGUCCUGCGGAGGGGUAGUACGGGCCUGAGGUUGCCCAGGCAGGAGGCGCUCCAUGUAAGAGUUUGUACAGGCACAGGAUGAGGUUCUAAAGCCAAGAGACUGUACCGCCUGAGGUUGCCCAGGUAUGAGGUCGUCCAGGACUCCACAUUUUGGGUGGGCAGAGUCUUGGUGUCUCUGUCUCUGCCAGACAUUCUGGAAGCCCCCAGGGCCUAGCUGGGCCAGCUCACCUGCCUGGGCGUGGUUCCCACGGGCCAUGGCUUCCUGCUCCCUCUGACUUCAUCAGGCCCUAACCAGUCCUUCUCUAAACCCUUCCACCUCAUUUGAGGGCUGCCUCUUUCCUGCCAGGACCCUGACCAAUAAACUUCUGGGGUCUGCACAGCCCUAGGAAGCAGCUGUUCUUGCCCAUUUUAUGGGGAGGAGUGCCCGUGGAGACCCCCAUGGUAGGAGGUCUUAACUCCUGGGGACCCGGGCUCCCCUCGUUCUCAGCACAGACCUUGGGAAAGGCAGCCCACGGGUCAGAGAGCGGAAACGCCAGGUUUCGUGCAGGAAGUGUGUGUGUGAGAAGCGGUCCCAGGGAAGAGAGGGAGCCCACCUGCGGGCAAGGCAGGGUGAGGGGAAAAGCCGGCAGAAGGAGGCGGCGUCGACCCACACUCAGAGCUGUGCUGACAGCCGGGGCCAUCUGAGGAACCUCGAGACGUGCAGAAAACUGUCCACCCCAGGGACAAAAAGGGACGUAAGCCAUAGGCUCCACCCCAUCCAUCAGGGGUUGCUCAUCAGUCCCACACUUCUGGGUUCACAUACCUGGGUGCCAAGCAGGUCCCUCGGGGGCGUCCUCCUCCGCCGCGUCAGAGAAGCUCUGGGCAAGAGUGAGCUGGGCCAUUGGCCCCCAUCUGCACAAAGCUGGUCAGAGGCGGCAGGAAGCGGUCAGCACAGUGCCAUGGCUGGGGGACUCUUGAAGGCCAGGCUCCAGGACCAUGUGGGUAGAGGAUCACAUCACAGCACGGCUGUCCAGGGUAGGGGACCACGCAGGACCCGGCUGAGUGGGGAAGGGGCCUAGGCCAGCCCGCUCCUCCCACUCCUGCAGCCACAGGGGUCCUGGGGACAGCAGCCCUGUCUCCUUCAGCCAGGCAAGGAAAGCUUUCUCUGCUCUGCUGUCACCGCCCCGCCUCCUCCAGCUCUGCCCCUGACUGGGCAGCAACUUCAGUGCUGGGUGGAAGAUAUUCAGGAACCCGCAAGUAGAGAGAAACUGAUUCCUGUGGUCCCAAAGGAGGGAGAAAUGGGGGGGCCGCGGGCCGUAAGAAGGACGGCUCCACUUGGCCUUGAUGGAGAUGAGCUGGAAGGAUGCUCUGGGGGUGGGAGCCACGUGGCUGGAUGUGUGGCAGUGGGAGGCACGUGUGCGUGUGGCGUGGAUUAGGGGUGGUGCAGGGUGGCCUGAGCGCCUGGAGGAGAAGAUGGCUCGUACAUACCCUGGCUACCACCCCAGAACCCCAUGACCCCAGGGGUUUCCUGACCGGCUGCUCCAGUGACCGCAGGCGUAACCACGGCGCCUGGGGGCUCAAGUGGCUGGCGGUGCCAGGUUCCUGCUUUGGGGGUGUGACAGCGCAGUGUGGUUGGCGGGCAGGGCGGCCCCAUCCCAGCGCUGCCCAGCUCCCAUGCCUCCCAGGCCCCAUGGAGGGGAGGCCUAUUCCGUUGGCCAAACCCCACCAAGCCAAGAAGUGCCAGGUGCAGGAGGCACAGGGCCAGGCAGCCCUGGCAGGGGGAAUAGGGGAUGGGGGCUCAGAGAUGUCAUCUGAGGUCACUCUCAGCCUUGGGUGGGCCCCAGACCACUCUGAGAUGCAAAGGGAGGCUGUGACCAUGCCUUUUCUUAAAACAAAAUCAAACUGCCCUGUGGAUAUCCCACAGUCUGUAAGCAUCCUGGGACACCCACCGGGAUCAGCUCUGCACUGGGAUCCUGGGCCUUCCCGAAGACCACGCCCAGACUAUUCACAGGGUGCCAUUGAAGGGUGACUAAUGCCUUCGGAUGGGGAAAAUGUCAGGGGCUCUGGGGCAAGUGGCGUGGCCUUGAGGCAUGACCCACUGGGAAUGCUCCCAGAGCCAGGGGGGAGGGAGAGCAUUGACAGAUGGAGAAGCACCAGGCACAGGGAGGGACAGGCCUGGGGUCCCCAGCAAGUGGGGCUGAGCAGGUCCUGGCCCCACCAACUGCCUCCCAGCCUCGCUGUGCAUACAGGUGCUGGCUCCCGCCCCGCCUUGCAGGGCCUCCCACCUAGUCCUGGCUCCCAGCCGCAGCCUCCUGAGCCCUUCUCCUUUGUUCUCAUCCCAGACACAAUCCACCCUGCUCCCACUGGGCUCCCCUUUGGGAGAUGGGCACCGGGGUCAGGUCCUGCGUCAGGGCUCCAGGCCUUCCAGUGCCCUGCCCAGGCAGCAAGCGUUGGAGAAGCAGGUGGACGUAAGCUGGCCUCUUACAGCCCCUCUGUCUCUUGUUCUCUCCACAAGCCUCGUGGUGGGCUGAAUAAGGGCCCCCAAGGAUGUCCACAUCCUAAUGCUCAGAACCUGCGUGUUGCCUUAGAUGGCGAAAGGGACUCUGCAGGUGUGACUAAGGAUCUGGGCUGGGGAGAUGCUCCUGGGCUAUCCCGGCGGGCCCGAAGUCAUCACAAGGGUCCUCGGAAGAGGAGGCGGGAGGGUCAGCUUCAGAGACACGUUUGGAGAUGUUACCCUUCGGCUUUGAAGAGAGAGGAUGGGGCCACGAGCCGAGGACCGCAGGGAGCUCCCCUAGGCUCUCCCAGGGGAACAGUCUUGCCCACAGCUUGACUUUAGCUCAGUGGGGCCUGUCUUGGACUGCUGGCCUCCAGAAC
This 5410-nucleotide long non-coding RNA is filed under the name Equus caballus (horse). RNAcentral's name for it is "lncRNA (ENSECAG00000044825.1)". Lineage: Eukaryota; Metazoa; Chordata; Mammalia; Perissodactyla; Equidae. The record is from RNAcentral.